GCCCCCGUGGCCUAAUUGGAUAAGGCAUCAGACUUCUAAUCUGAGGAUUGUGGGUU
This 56-nucleotide transfer RNA is filed under the name Basidiobolus meristosporus CBS 931.73. It matches the Rfam family "tRNA", at positions 1 to 53 of the family's 71-position model. Rfam says of the family: Transfer RNA (tRNA) molecules are approximately 80 nucleotides in length. Their secondary structure includes four short double-helical elements and three loops (D, anti-codon, and T loops). Further hydrogen bonds mediate the characteristic L-shaped molecular structure. tRNAs have two regions of fundamental functional importance: the anti-codon, which is responsible for specific mRNA codon recognition, and the 3' end, to which the tRNAs corresponding amino acid is attached (by aminoacyl-tRNA synthetases). tRNAs cope with the degeneracy of the genetic code in two manners: having more than one tRNA (with a specific anti-codon) for a particular amino acid; and 'wobble' base-pairing, i.e. permitting non-standard base-pairing at the 3rd anti-codon position. The record is from Rfam by way of RNAcentral. Lineage: Eukaryota; Fungi; Basidiobolomycota; Basidiobolomycetes; Basidiobolales; Basidiobolaceae.